This 21-nucleotide microRNA is filed under the name Arabidopsis lyrata. RNAcentral's name for it is "aly-miR159c-5p". Its record names the gene aly-miR159c-5p. Lineage: Eukaryota; Viridiplantae; Streptophyta; Magnoliopsida; Brassicales; Brassicaceae. The record is from miRBase by way of RNAcentral.
GAGCUCCCUUCCUCCAAAACG